GCUUGGGUUGAAUUUAAAGCGGAGUCGGUGCAUUGUUCAGGAGGCUUCGCGCCCCCAGUGCAUUGACAGCAGCUACUGUUUACACGGACUGUUCAUUCCUGCGCUGUUUGCUUAUGGAAAAUAAGGGGGAGUGACAAAGAGAAGAGAGGAAAGGAAGAAGGGCAGAGAGGGAGGCACUGGCCGAGGUGCAGAGCAGAAGCCUUGCUCUUGCCCGACCAUUAACGUCGCUGGAAGAGCCGCUGCCGCCCGGCUCCUAGCCCGCCACGGCCUGUGUGGUCAGCCGGGCAAAGGGCUGCCCCCGCCGUCCCACACGCUUCUCCGCCUGUACGUAUACGCACACACAGAGCCUCCGAACGUGCCUCCGCAGGCAUGAGACUCCGGCUGCUCCUGUGUAUCGUGUUUUUCCUCCUGGCGAGCCUCCUGCCUGCCGACGGACAGCGGACAGCCAACCUGGCCCUGCGCAGGAAGCUCCACCGGCCCGGCUGCUCACACCGGCGCUGCGUGCCGCUCCACUCCAGGGUGCCCUUCCCCUGAGCGCCACUGGAGCCUGGCCCAGCAAUUUCAUAAUGGGCUUUUCAGUGUUUUAAACGAGCAAAAAUUAAAUCGAUGGACAAGUUAGUCAGCAGUCCAGAUCAACAACAGCUGACCUGAGAGAGCCACUGCAGUCCUGUCUUCAGCAGUCCUGUCUGUCACAUUCGCAAGACCUGGAAGGCCCUGGCUCACACCUUAGGAAGUGGGGAGGGGAGAAAUGGAGGGUGGUGAUGGGAGGAUGUACAUGAAACUUACCUGGCUGAAACAUUCCAUAUAAAUUCCUUGGCUCUCAUAAGGACUACUGAAAGUUAAAGACCAAAUCAAACAUCAGGUACAUGAGAUGGAUUUUCAGUGGAUCUGUCCAAAGGGACUCUUAAUGGUCUAUACUGUUCAGACUGAAACUGGAUGUGCUGUUGACUACUUAAUUCUCGCUGUGUGUAGGGCAGCAUUUAGGGUGAAACAACAUCGGACUCCAGCACAGAAGGUGAAAGUCCAUUUUUUUGUUUAUACUUUUAUAUAUUAAUAAUAUAUACAUGUAUAUUUUUACAGCUAACAUUACAUCUUUAUGGAAUUGCCUUAAUAAUAAUGUAGAAUGUAUUACUGUAAUAGUACCAAAGUCAUCACUAUACUACUGGUCCUACUGGCUUCACGUAUAGUAACCAUAGUAGGAGUUUACAAUGUAAGAAAGCAAAGAAAGUAUUAUCCUUCAUUCUAUAGAUAGAGAAUUGAAGCACACAGAGAUAAGAGAUUAGCCAAGGGUCAUGCAAAACUUUGAUAACUCGUUAUCCCUCAACUCAGGCCUUAAGGUCAAGCCCAUCUUCCUGUCUAAUGAGCUGUUACUGCAAAGCCUAUCGUUUGUUUUCUUAAACUGAGCUGCCAAACCAGACAGCUGAAACAUACUUGAAAAUUCAGUACUAUAGAACUAUUUGCUUAAUAGUAGUUUUCCUAAAAUACCCACCACAGUAUUAUAAAUAGAGCAUAAAAAUAGACCAUUGAAAAGAAACCUUUGUUUGGUGAACCCCAGUGUUGCGUAGUACUCUAUUCCUGUAAUUUAAAUGAAUGGGAUAUAUGGAACACAGCACUACAAUGAAUGAGGACUUCAAACAAAAAACAGACCGUUCUUUUCAGUCCUGGAGGUCAAAAAUACAUUGAGCUUUUAUUUUAUGUUUUGUUUUCAAAAAUGUACAUUUCGCAUGUUUUUAUAGCACCAGAAAUUCCAAACCUCCAUAUAAAGGAAAACAUGGUAGCCCUUGCAUUAGCAGAACUAAACCAAACCUGAAAUAAGUCAUACCCAGAUUUUUAAGCCAUUACACUAGAUUCGCAAUUUCCACAUUUUUUGUAAGUUGUAUAAAGGUGACUGAAGAUCAGCAGUGCCACGGUUUAAAUCCAGUAUCAGAUUUUUGUCUUGCAACACAGUUUCUAAUAAGAACAGCAAUCAAAAAAAGCAGACAGCUGAAACCUUCUGAUCAGUGUCUGUAUCUAACCCCUCAUCUCUAAGAACUUGAAACCUGAAUCAGAUUCAUACUGGCAGAGCUUAACAGAAGUUUCAAAUGUCUCUGUAUAGAGGGAGAAAAAAACCCCAAAACCAAAACCCAACGAACUCAAAAAACCCAAAAAAACCAAACAUCACACCUUAUUCUGGAGUUCUGGAAAAUCAUCAUAAAAGAUGGUCAAACUUAUCUAUACCAACAUCCCUGCAGGUAAACCUUUGGAGUUUUGAAGAAAAAAAACCAAACCAGUUUUCCAAAAUUGGAGGCAUACUACCACUAAUUUUAUUUUUUAAUUAUUUAACUUGGCUUUCAUAUGUAUCCAUGGCUAUCUCUGUUUAGAAGUAGAGGUAAAGAGUAUGGGAAAGCAAGAAAUGCAAAGAGUAACUAUUUUAACAGUUAUAAAUGAGUAUACGGAUUUAGUGUGGCACUGGAUAUUUUAUAUAACCAUAAUUCAGUUAACUUUGAUAAAAUAAUAAGCAUAAUGUAUCUUAGUGAAGAGCUACAUAUACACAUUCCUUUACAGAUGUAAAAAUAAAUAAAGCAAGUACCAAAGCGCCCUAGGAAGCCCACUGUCAGCCUACAAAAUUAUUUUAAAUGUCUGGUUUUUUAGACAUGAUGAUAUCAUAAAAUCUUUGAAAAAGGCAUUGAUUGUGAUUUUUGAUAGAUAAGUUUAUCAACUAGCUGGUUGAGUGUAUAUUUUGUAAAAAGAUGGUAUGCACUUCAAAUAACAUCUCACUUUAAAUAAACUUUUUAUACUUCUCAAAA
Molecule: long non-coding RNA, 2786 nt
Filed under: Strigops habroptila (Kakapo)
Lineage: Eukaryota; Metazoa; Chordata; Aves; Psittaciformes; Psittacidae
Description: lncRNA (ENSSHBG00005009022.1)
Source: RNAcentral